GACGAACGCUGGCGGCGUGGAUUAGGCAUGCAAGUCGAACGGUAUCAUCCUUUCGGGGGUGAGAGAGUGGCGAACUGGUGAGUAACACGUAGGUUAUCUACCCUCAAGACGGGGACAACCCAGGGAAACUUGGGCUAAUACCGGAUGUGAGCAACUUUUAGUUGUUUGAAAGGUGGCGUAAGCUGUCGCUUGGGGAUGAGCCUGCGUCCUAUUAGUUAGUUGGUGAGGUAACGGCUCACCUAGGCAAUGAUAGGUAGGCGGCCUUAACGGGUGGUCGCCCACACUGGGAUUGAGAUACGGCCCAGACUCCUACGGGAGGCAGCAGUCGAGAAUAGUCUACAAUGGUCGGAAGACUGAUAGUGCGACGCCGCGUGAACGAUGAAUCCCUUCGGGGUGUAAAGUUCUUUUAUAUGUGAGCAGUGCUUCUUAUAUUAACAGUAUGGGGAAGAGAUAUUAGCAUAUAGAAUAAGACAACGGCUAACUCCGUGCCAGCAGCCGCGGU
This 502-nucleotide ribosomal RNA is filed under the name uncultured bacterium. RNAcentral's name for it is "bacterial SSU rRNA". It matches the Rfam family "Bacterial small subunit ribosomal RNA", at positions 28 to 521 of the family's 1533-position model. The record is from RNAcentral.